Anoplophora glabripennis (Asian longhorned beetle) is the source of this 1005-nucleotide long non-coding RNA. RefSeq lists it as uncharacterized. The record is from RefSeq and is a predicted model, not a curated record. Lineage: Eukaryota; Metazoa; Arthropoda; Insecta; Coleoptera; Cerambycidae. The transcript has 3 exons.
AUAAGUACUGGAAAUAUUGCUUAUUUUUAAGAAACUAAUUAGUUAUGUAAAUUUGUAAGCAUUUAUUUUUCACCCUAAUACACAAUCUAGUUUCUGUAUAAGGUGCAUAAACUGAUUAAAAAUAUGAUUGGCUUGAAUACUGAAUUGGAUACUAAAUUGAGGAAAGAUUAGACUUCUAUAUUAGGCAGUAAAUGUCAAGGCUAUUCUUAAAGAGGCUUCGCUUAAUAAUUUGCAAAAACAGAAAUACAUUUUAUUGUCUCAGAAAGUGAUUGUGAGAGCUAGAAAUAUGUGCAAAACGAUGAAGGAUAGUGAAAAAAUCAUAAAACAGGACAGUGAAUGUCGAAUCCUUUGCCUGACAUAUUUAAACGGAAAUAAGGUAAGAAGACAAGAUGUAGGUAGGUAUCUAGCAAUUGCACCUAAACGUAAAGAAGAUAUUUUAGAGUAUUUUGAAGCAAACCUCUGCAUGACAUCAUAACGUAUCUGUAAUAUUGAUUUGGAAAAAUGCAGUCUCCAUCCAUGCUGCUUUCAGGAAACCCUCAUCUGUUGCCUGAUGAUUGCGAUUGGAGAGUAAAUUUAUUGUCAAGUGAUUAAUCUAGGAAAACAAAGUAUUUUUAAAUGAGGUUUCGUGGACAGACUAAGCUUUGCUUACAAGAAUGAGUCUCUAUAAUUCUCGUAAUGUGCCUACAAGGGCCAAGAAAAUCCACACCUGCGAUGAAAACUCACUUUUAACACAGUUUCAGUAUUAAUGUAUGGGGUUGGGUUUAUUGGAAAUAAUCUAACCGGGCCCAUUAUUUUAUCCAGAAGACCCAGUAGUGAGUCAUAUCCAAAUUUUUUUUGAGAACCAACUACUUGAAUGACUGAAAAAUGUACAAUUAAAUUUGUGUAAGAACAUGUUAUUUAUGCACUAACGAAAUUAGAAACUACCCCGAUAUUCUAGUUUGUACAACUUAAAAAUUAAAGAGACAAUUACAAACUUGCAGAACGCAAAACAGUCAUCAUUUUGAA